RNAcentral lists this ribosomal RNA (370 nucleotides) under uncultured bacterium. RNAcentral describes it as "bacterial SSU rRNA". It matches the Rfam family "Bacterial small subunit ribosomal RNA", at positions 48 to 406 of the family's 1533-position model. The record is from RNAcentral.
CUAAUACAUGCAAGUCGAGCGAACAGACGAGGAGCUUGCUCCUUUGAUGUUAGCGGCGGACGGGUUGAGUAACACGUGGGUAACCUACCUAUAAGACUGGGAUAACUUCGGGAAACCGGAGCUAAUACCGGAUAAUAUUUCGAACCGCAUGGUUCGAUAGUGAAAGAUGGCUUUGCUAUCACUUAUAGAUGGACCUGCGCCGUAUUAGCUAGUUGGUAAGGUAACGGCUUACCAAGGCAACGAUACGUAGCCGACCUGAGAGGGUGAUCGGCCACACUGGAACUGAGACACGGCCCAGACUCCUACGGGAGGCAGCAGUAGGGAAUCUUCCGCAAUGGGCGAAAGCCUGACGGAGCAACGCCGGGUGAGU